GAGUUUGAUCUUGGCUCAGGAUGAACGCUGGCGGCGUGCCUAAUACAUGCAAGUCGAGCGAACAGACGAGGAGCUUGCUCCUCUGACGUUAGCGGCGGACGGGUGAGUAACACGUGGAUAACCUACCUAUAAGACUGGGAUAACUUCGGGAAACCGGAGCUAAUACCGAAUAAUAUAUUGAACCGCAUGGUUCAAUAGUGAAAAACGGUUUUGCUGUCACUUAUAGAUGGAUCCGCGCCGCAUUAGCUAGUUGGUAGGGUAACGGCUUACCAAGGCGACGAUGCGUAGCCGACCUGAGAGGGUGAUCGGCCACACUGGAACUGAGACACGGUCCAGACUCCUACGGGAGGCAGCAGUAGGGAAUCUUCCGCAAUGGGGCAAAGCCUGACGGAGCAACGCCGCGUGAGUGAUGAAGGUCUUCGGAUCGUAAAACUCUGUUAUUAGGGAAGAACAAAUGUGUAAGUAACUAUGCACGUCUUGACGGUACCUAAUCAGAAAGCCACGGCUAACUACGUGCCAGCACGG
Molecule: ribosomal RNA, 525 nt
Filed under: uncultured microorganism
Description: bacterial SSU rRNA
Rfam family: Bacterial small subunit ribosomal RNA
Source: RNAcentral